RNAcentral lists this long non-coding RNA (170 nucleotides) under Octopus sinensis (East Asian common octopus). RNAcentral describes it as "uncharacterized LOC118762098, transcript variant X2". The record is from RNAcentral. Lineage: Eukaryota; Metazoa; Mollusca; Cephalopoda; Octopoda; Octopodidae.
UUUCUGUGAGAAAGUUUAUUGCCAAUAAAAAUAAGUAUAAGAAAUAACUUAAGAUUUAACACAGAUCGUAAAUACCCAUUAGCAACGAAGUUCAAUAAAACAGCAAGUAUUACUACAUUUUUAUUACUUGGAUUAUACAAUAUUUUACAACAAUAAAAUAAUUCAUAUCA